GAUGAACGCUGGCGGUAUGCUUAACACAUGCAAGUCGAACGGACUCUUCGGAUUUAGUGGCGGACGGGUGAGUAACGCGUGAGAAUCUGGCUUUGGGUUCGGGACAACCACUGGAAACGGUUGCUAAUACCGGAUGUGCCCAGAGGUCAAAGGGAAAUUGGCUGCAGAUGAGGUCGCGUCUGAUUAGCUAGUUGGUGAGGGUAAGGGGCACCAAGGCAGCGAUCAGUAGCCGGUCUGCGGGGAUGACCAGCCACACCGGGGCUGCUACCCCGCCCACCCUACUACGGGAGGCGGCAGUGGGGAAGUAUCCUGAAUGAGCGACGGCCUGACGGAGCAGUACCGCCUGGGGGAAGAAGGAUCUUGUGUUGUAAACCUCUUCUCUUAGCGAGGAAGAUAAUGACGGUACCGGAAGAAUCAGCACCGGCUAACUCCGUG
RNAcentral lists this ribosomal RNA (435 nucleotides) under uncultured bacterium. RNAcentral's name for it is "partial 16S ribosomal RNA". It matches the Rfam family "Bacterial small subunit ribosomal RNA", at positions 28 to 507 of the family's 1533-position model. The record is from RNAcentral.